This 479-nucleotide ribosomal RNA is filed under the name uncultured bacterium. RNAcentral's name for it is "partial 16S ribosomal RNA". It matches the Rfam family "Bacterial small subunit ribosomal RNA", at positions 28 to 507 of the family's 1533-position model. The record is from RNAcentral.
GAUGAACGCUAGCGGGGGGCCUAACACAUGCAAGCCGAGCGGUAGAGUUCCUUCGGUAACGUGAGAGCGGCGGACGGGUGCGUAACACGUGUGCAAGCUACCUGUAUCUGGGGGAGAGCCUUCCGAAAGGAAGAUGAAUACCCCAUAAUAUGAUGAUUGGCAUCAAUGAUUAUUGAAAACUCCGGUGGAUAGAGAUGGGCACGCGCGAGAUUAGAUAGUUGGUGAGUAAACGGCUCACCAAGUCAAUGAUCUUUAGGGGUCCUGAGAGGGAGAUGCCCCAGACUGGUACUGGGACCCGGACCAGACUGCUACGGGAGGCAGCAGUGCGGAAUAUAGGACAAUGGGUGAUAGCAUAAUCCAGCCAACCCGCGUGCAGGAUGACGGUGCUCGGGAUUGUAACCUUCUUUUGUAAAGCGAUAAACCUACUCUAGUGAGGGUAGCUGACGGUAAUGGACGAAUAAGCACCGGCUAACUACGUG